ACGAGAAUUUCAAACAUAUUUAUUUCUUGAUAUAAAGAAGAGAAUUCAGGAUGUACAACAAAAGCAAAAGUUGUGGCACGCUGUAUUAAAAGAUCUAGAUCAGAGAAAAAGUAAGGUGUCAAGUGUACAUCUCAUGGAAAGGGAAAUCAGAGACUUUGUUUCUAGACUUCAGAAUGUCCUUGAAACUUAUUUCAACGAGUUCCAACUUAGAAGAGGCAGAAGCAUAAUUGGAAAACUCAUUGAUGAAUUCAAAUUCUUCCGGAUGGCUAAUUUAGAUGUUAAAGAAAUUAAUAUGCAGAUAAGGAUGAC
This 309-nucleotide long non-coding RNA is filed under the name Olea europaea (common olive). Its description in RNAcentral is "long non-coding RNA (OEUR_LNC008254)". Lineage: Eukaryota; Viridiplantae; Streptophyta; Magnoliopsida; Lamiales; Oleaceae. The record is from RNAcentral.